GAUGAACGCUGGCGGCGUGCCUAACACAUGCAAGUCGAGCGAACAGACGAUGAGCUUGCUCCUCUGACGUUAGCGGCGGACGGGUGAGUAACACGUGCAUCACCUACCUCUAAUACUUGGAUAACUUCGUGAAACCGGUGCCAAUACCAGCGCAUAUAUUGAACCGCAUGGCUCAAUAGUUAAAGACGCUUUUCCUGUCACUUAUAGAUGGUGCCGCGCCGCAUUAGCUAGUUGGUAAGGUAACGGCCUACCAAGGCAACGAUGCGUAGCUGAUCUGAGAGGGUGAUCAGCCACACUGGAACUGAGACACGGUCCAGACUCCUACGGUAGGCAGCAGUGGGGAAUAUUCGACAAUGGGCGAAAGCCUGAUGGAGCAAUGCCGCGUGAGUGAUGAAGGUCUUCGGGUCGUAAAACUCUGUUAUUAGGGAAGAACAACUGUGUAAGUAACUAUGCACGUCUUGACGGUACCUAAACAGAAAGCCCCGGCUAACUACGUG
This 497-nucleotide ribosomal RNA is filed under the name uncultured bacterium. Its description in RNAcentral is "partial 16S ribosomal RNA". It matches the Rfam family "Bacterial small subunit ribosomal RNA", at positions 28 to 507 of the family's 1533-position model. The record is from RNAcentral.